CUGGAGGCAGAUACACAAAUUGGGCUGAAAUGCUACUCUAAUUGUCACCAUACUUCCAUAGAAUAAAUUGUUUUUUGAUGACCAAGACAUUGAGUGAAAUUGCAAUGGACAGAUAUGAGGUAAUUUCUU
This 129-nucleotide small nucleolar RNA is filed under the name Chinchilla lanigera (long-tailed chinchilla). RNAcentral describes it as "Small Cajal body specific RNA 8 (ENSCLAG00000020713.1)". It matches the Rfam family "Small Cajal body specific RNA 8". From Rfam's summary of the family: scaRNAs are a specific class of small nuclear RNAs which localise to the Cajal bodies and guide the modification of RNA polymerase II transcribed spliceosomal RNAs U1, U2, U4, U5 and U12. U92 belong to the H/ACA box class of guide RNAs as it has the predicted hairpin-hinge-hairpin-tail structure, conserved H/ACA-box motifs and is found associated with GAR1. Its is predicted to guide the pseudouridylation of residues U44 in U2 snRNA. Lineage: Eukaryota; Metazoa; Chordata; Mammalia; Rodentia; Chinchillidae. The record is from Rfam by way of RNAcentral.